Molecule: ribosomal RNA, 495 nt
Filed under: uncultured bacterium
Lineage: Bacteria
Description: partial 16S ribosomal RNA
Rfam family: Bacterial small subunit ribosomal RNA
Source: RNAcentral
UGACCGCUGGCGGCGUGCCUAAUACAUGCACGUCGAGCGAACGGACGCGAAGCUUGCUUCUCUGAUGUUAGCGGCGGACGGGUGAGUAACACGUGGAUAACCUACCUAUAAGACUGGGAUAACUUCGGGAAACCGUAGCUAAUACCGGAUAAUAUUUUGAACCGCAUGGUUCAAAAGUGAAAGACGGUCUUGCUGUCACUUAUAGAUGGAUCCGCGCUGCAUUAGCUAGUUGGUAAGGUAACGGCUUACCAAGGCAACGAUGCAUAGCCGACCUGAGAGGGUGAUCGGCCACACUGGAACUGAGACACGGUCCAGACUCCUACGGGAGGCAGCAGUAGGGAAUCUUCCGCAAAGGGCGAAAGCCUGACGGAGCAACGCCGCGUGAGUGAUGAAGGUCUUCGGAUCGUAAAACUCUGUUAUUAGGGAAGAACAUAUGUGUAAGUAACUGUGCACAUCUUGACGGUACCUAAUCAGAAAGCCACGGCUAACUACGUG